Molecule: ribosomal RNA, 202 nt
Filed under: uncultured Anaerolineaceae bacterium
Lineage: Bacteria; Bacillati; Chloroflexota; Anaerolineae; Anaerolineales; Anaerolineaceae
Description: partial 16S ribosomal RNA
Rfam family: Bacterial small subunit ribosomal RNA
Source: RNAcentral
GUCAAGUCAGCAUGACCUUUAUAUCCAGGGCUACACACACGCUACAAUGGUACUGGUACAAUGGGUAGCCAAGGCCGCGAGGCGGAGCCAAUCCUGAAAGCAGGCCUCAGUUCAGAUUGCAGUCUGCAACUCGACUGCAUGAAGCCGGAGUUGCUAGUAACCGCAGGUCAGCAAUACUGCGGUGAAUACGUUCCCGGGUCUU